Molecule: ribosomal RNA, 1200 nt
Filed under: Campylobacter jejuni
Lineage: Bacteria; Pseudomonadati; Campylobacterota; Epsilonproteobacteria; Campylobacterales; Campylobacteraceae
Description: partial 23S ribosomal RNA
Rfam family: Bacterial large subunit ribosomal RNA
Source: RNAcentral
AGGUAAGCUACUAAGAGCGAAUGGUGGAUGCCUUGACUGGUAAAGGCGAUGAAGGACGUACUAGACUGCGAUAAGCUACGGGGAGCUGUCAAGAAGCUUUGAUCCGUAGAUUUCCGAAUGGGGCAACCCAAUGUAUAGAGAUAUACAUUACCUAUAUAGGAGCGAACGAGGGGAAUUGAAACAUCUUAGUACCCUCAGGAAAAGAAAUCAAUAGAGAUUGCGUCAGUAGCGGCGAGCGAAAGCGCAAGAGGGCAAACCCAGUGCUUGCACUGGGGGUUGUAGGACUGCAAUGUGCAAGAGGUAAGUUUAGCAGAACAUUCUGGAAAGUAUAACCAUAGAGGGUGAUAGUCCCGUAUGCGAAAAACAAACCUUAGCUAGCAGUAUCCUGAGUAGGGCGGGACACGAGGAAUCCUGUCUGAAUCCGGGUCGACCACGAUCCAACCCUAAAUACUAAUACCAGAUCGAUAGUGCACAAGUACCGUGAGGGAAAGGUGAAAAGAACUGAGGUGAUCAGAGUGAAAUAGAACCUGAAACCAUUUGCUUACAAUCAUUCAGAGCCCUAUGUAGCAAUACAGGGUGAUGGACUGCCUUUUGCAUAAUGAGCCUGCGAGUUGUGGUGUCUGGCAAGGUUAAGCAAACGCGAAGCCGUAGCGAAAGCGAGUCUGAAUAGGGCGCUUAGUCAGAUGCUGCAGACCCGAAACGAAGUGAUCUAUCCAUGAGCAAGUUGAAGCUAGUGUAAGAACUAGUGGAGGACUGAACCCAUAGGCGUUGAAAAGCCCCGGGAUGACUUGUGGAUAGGGGUGAAAGGCCAAUCAAACUUCGUGAUAGCUGGUUCUCUCCGAAAUAUAUUUAGGUAUAGCGUUGUGUCGUAAUAUAAGGGGGUAGAGCACUGAAUGGGCUAGGGCAUACACCAAUGUACCAAACCCUAUCAAACUCCGAAUACCUUAUAUGUAAUCACAGCAGUCAGGCGGCGAGUGAUAAAAUCCGUCGUCAAGAGGGAAACAACCCAGACUACCAGCUAAGGUCCCUAAAUCUUACUUAAGUGGAAAACGAUGUGAAGUUACUUAAACAACCAGGAGGUUGGCUUAGAAGCAGCCAUCCUUUAAAGAAAGCGUAAUAGCUCACUGGUCUAGUGAUUUUGCGCGGAAAAUAUAACGGGGCUAAAGUAAGUACCGAAGCUGUAGACUUGCACACAACUUA